CUCAACAACAUAGGUCAGACAUGUCCUGCAGCAGGUGAUCACUCACUACAGUGAUCAGACAUUUCCUGCAGCAGGUGAUCACUCACUACAGUGAUCAAACAUGUCCUGCAGCAGGUGAUCACUCACUACAGUGAUCAGACAGUUUAGCUUCAUAGAGGAAUGUAUAAUUGUAGUAAUUUUUACAGGUCCCAACACCUACAGUCUAAAGUGCUUUCUAGCUAAUGUACUGUUAGCAUAACAGGUCCCAACACAUACAGUCUAAAGUGCUUUCUAGCUAAUGUUCUGUUAGCAUAACAGGUCCCAACACGUACAGUCUAAAGUGGUUCUGCUACAGAGUAGUCAAACAACAUUAUCUGACAGUAGCUAAUGUUCUGUUAGCAUAACAGGUUCUGAUACGGAGUAGUCAAAACAACAUUAUCUGACAGUAGCUAAUGUUCUGUUAGCAUAACAGGUCCCAACACGUACAGUCUAAAGUGCUCUCUAGCUAAUGUUCUGUUAGCAUAACAGGUCCCAACACGUACAGUCUAAAGUGCUCUCUAGCUAAUGUUCUGUUAGCAUAACAGGUCCCAACACGUACAGUCUAAAGUGCUUUCUAGCUAAUGUUCUGUUAGCAUAACAGGUCCCAACACGUACAGUCUAAAGUGGUUCUGCUACAGAGUAGUCAAACAACAUUAUCUGACAGUAGCUAAUGUUCU
This is a long non-coding RNA of Oncorhynchus tshawytscha (Chinook salmon), 695 nucleotides long. The record is from Ensembl. NCBI's taxonomy places the organism in Eukaryota, Metazoa, Chordata, Actinopteri, Salmoniformes, Salmonidae.